ACAGGAAUUUCUUAUACCUAGUGGAAUAAAAGAAUAGAGGAAGAAUGUAUUUUCAAAAAACAUGAUAGGAUUUUUAGAAUCACUAAUUUUUCCAAGAAUUGCUCAAAGUGAAGGGCAAUAUCUUAUAAAGGAAGGCUCUAAUCAUGAUCCUCUAUAUGUUAUAUGUAGAUCUUUGUAGGACUGUGUGGUGGAAACUUUAAGAUUUCAUAACUUCUAGGUAUUGUAGGGGGG
RNAcentral lists this long non-coding RNA (231 nucleotides) under Capsicum annuum. RNAcentral's name for it is "long non-coding RNA (CANN_LNC001142)". The record is from RNAcentral. Lineage: Eukaryota; Viridiplantae; Streptophyta; Magnoliopsida; Solanales; Solanaceae.